AUUGAACGCUGGCGGCAGGCCUAACACAUGCAAGUCGAGCGGAUGAAGGGAGCUUGCUCCUGGAUUCAGCGGCGGACGGGUGAGUAAUGCCUAGGAAUCUGCCUGGUAGUGGGGGAUAACGUCCGGAAACGGGCGCUAAUACCGCAUACGUCCUGAGGGAGAAAGUGGGGGAUCUUCGGACCUCACGCUAUCAGAUGAGCCUAGGUCGGAUUAGCUAGUUGGUGGGGUAAAGGCCUACCAAGGCGACGAUCCGUAACUGGUCUGAGAGGAUGAUCAGUCACACUGGAACUGAGACACGGUCCAGACUCCUACGGGAGGCAGCAGUGGGGAAUAUUGGACAAAGGGCGAAAGCCUGAUCCAGCCAUGCCGCGUGUGUGAAGAAGGUCUUCGGAUUGUAAAGCACUUUAAGUUGGGAGGAAGGGCAGUAAGUUAAUACCUUGCUGUUUUGACGUUACCAACAGAAUAAGCACCGGCUAACUUCGU
RNAcentral lists this ribosomal RNA (483 nucleotides) under uncultured bacterium. RNAcentral's name for it is "partial 16S ribosomal RNA". It matches the Rfam family "Bacterial small subunit ribosomal RNA", at positions 30 to 506 of the family's 1533-position model. The record is from RNAcentral.